Molecule: transfer RNA, 88 nt
Filed under: Clostridia bacterium
Lineage: Bacteria; Bacillati; Bacillota; Clostridia
Description: tRNA-Ser
Source: RNAcentral
GGACGUUGCUUUGUGAGUGUUGCGCACGACUGGAAAUCGUGUGUGGGCUUAUACCCCACCUAGGGUUCAAAUCCCUAACUCUCCGCCA